CAGAAAAACAAAAAAUAUACAACAACAAUUCCCUCUUCUUCUUCCCUCUCCAAAUCCCUAACCUUUUUAAUUUUCCAAAAACAAAAUUCGAAACAAUCUGAACAAGAAACUCAAUUUGGGAAAGAGAAAUUCGAAUAUGGGCAAGAAACUUAAAAUCGUGUCUGAGUCGAAUCUUACAAGAGAAAUUCAAAUUAAAAUCGUUCCCCUCAG
RNAcentral lists this long non-coding RNA (210 nucleotides) under Medicago truncatula (barrel medic). RNAcentral's name for it is "long non-coding RNA (MTRU_LNC004396)". Lineage: Eukaryota; Viridiplantae; Streptophyta; Magnoliopsida; Fabales; Fabaceae. The record is from RNAcentral.